Molecule: non-coding RNA, 106 nt
Organism: Acanthosepion pharaonis
Lineage: Eukaryota; Metazoa; Mollusca; Cephalopoda; Sepiida; Sepiidae
Source: the annotation of a GenBank genome assembly
GCCACACAAUGUUGAAACACUGGUUCCCGUACAAUCACCAAUGUUAAGCAAUGUUGAGCCUGGUCGUACAUAGAUGAGUGGCUUCUUGGGAACAACAGGUGCUAUA